This 446-nucleotide ribosomal RNA is filed under the name uncultured bacterium. RNAcentral's name for it is "bacterial SSU rRNA". It matches the Rfam family "Bacterial small subunit ribosomal RNA", at positions 29 to 506 of the family's 1533-position model. The record is from RNAcentral.
AUGAAUGCUGGCGGCGUGGAUAAGGCAUGCAAGUCACGGGGGCUCUGGUAGUAAUACUUGGGCAACCGGCGAACGAGGUAGUAAUACGCAGGUACGCACCGAAAAGUCUGGUAUAGCUCGUCGAAAGACGGGGUAAUUCCGGAUGGUGUAGCGAUACUAAAGGGGCAACCCGCUUUUUGAGCGGCCUGCGGAGCAUCAGCUAGUUGGUAGGGUAACGGCCUACCAAGGCUAUGACGCUUAGGGGACCUGAGAGGGUGACCCCCACCGAUGGGACUGAGACACGGCCCAUACACCUACGGGUGGCUGCAGUCGAGAAUCUUCCGCAAUGGGCGAAAGCCUGACGGAGCGACGCCGCGUGAUGGACGAAGUCCUUCGGGACGUAAACAUCUUUUAUGCGUGAGGAAGUAAUUGACGUUAGCGCAUGAAUAAGGGGCUCCUAACUCUGU